ACCCAGCUGACGAGUCCCAAAUAGGACGAAACGCGCGUCCUGAAU
Non-coding RNA from Schistosoma haematobium, 45 nucleotides. NCBI's taxonomy places the organism in Eukaryota, Metazoa, Platyhelminthes, Trematoda, Strigeidida, Schistosomatidae. The record is from Rfam.